RNAcentral lists this unclassified non-coding RNA (3747 nucleotides) under Portunus trituberculatus (swimming crab). Its description in RNAcentral is "heparan-alpha-glucosaminide N-acetyltransferase-like, transcript variant X1". Lineage: Eukaryota; Metazoa; Arthropoda; Malacostraca; Decapoda; Portunidae. The record is from RNAcentral.
AAGCAGAGAGGAGACGAGAGAAGGCAGUGAUGGUGGUUGUCGCUCAGCUGAUUAGUGUUGUGGCGAUCAGCUGACAUGCGACUCGCUGUUUAUUUUACACUUUCUCCUCAAUUUCUCCUCUCUGCUGGUGUACACGGGUGUUUUCAAGUUCCAGAGGCAGAGUGACAAGAUUUCUACAUUACUAAUUGGAGAAACACUCUUGAAAACCUCGCUAAUCAUUCCUGUGGCCUUGGAAAAUAGUUGUGGUGAGAAAACAAAGCAUUUCUGAACAAGGACCAUUAAGAGGUACACCACCAUCAUCACCACCACCACUAUGACCCUUCACGACACAUCCACACCAAUCUGCCAUGGCCAACACCUUGUUCUGGGUCAGGCGUGUCUUGAGGUAGCCAGCAGUGACCCAUACAACACUCUCCAGCUCUGGGCACAGGCUGAUGAAUGUUACAAGUGUCCGCCCUGGUACUACCUCACUCUAGCACCCAACACCACCCACACCCUGCCCGUCAACACCACCUACCCCACCACCAUCACCAUCACCAAUGAGGAGGGCCGGGACCUUUACAAACUGGGCUACCACUUUGACCUCUAUGGGAACUACCACUUGCUUCUGGACACACAUGGAGCGCAGGGAGUGGAGGUGACGAGGCAGCCAGAGAGUGAAGUGCUGCCACUUGUCACAGCCAUCCUCUUCUUCCUGCUGUUAAUGUUUAUGUGGCUGUGUAGCAAGUUUCUGGUGCGGCGAAUGGACUCACCGGUCACAGCAAGGCAACCAGAGGACAAUGAGAGAAGUCCUUUGCUCUCCAGACGCCCUCAAGACCAUUCAUCCGUGUUAUCCGACCAACUAUCCGACCCACAGCCAUCCACAUCACAGUCUUCCACCUCCCAGCCAUCCACCUCUCAACCAUCCACCUCCCAGUCCACUUCUGCUUCCAUACGCCAUCCAGAUCCUGUGCCGCUGGAUGGACGGAGGGAGUCUGGAAGGUUGCGGUCCCUUGAUGCCUUUCGUGGAUUGGCAAUAGUGCUGAUGAUCUUCGUGAACUACGGGGGGGGCGGCUACUGGUUCUUCAAGCAUGCAAGGUGGAAUGGUCUCACUGUGGCCGACCUGGUGUUUCCUUGGUUUCUGUGGAUCAUGGGAGUGAGUUUGGUGUUCUCAAUCCGCUCACAGCUUCGCCGAGCCACAAAAAGGAUCAUUAUUGUGGCGCGAAUUCUCAAACGAUGCCUCAUUCUCUUUGCUCUCGGCCUCAUUGUCAACAGUGUUGGCGGUCACAACUACAUGCCAACUUUCCGAAUCUUUGGCGUGCUUCAGCGGUUUGCCAUUUGCUACUUCCUGACGGCAGUGAUUGAAGUGUACAGCAUGAACCCUCAGGAGUCCCCAGAGUAUGUCUGGUACUGGAAGAUCCGCGACAUAGUGCGUUCCAGCCCACAGUGGGUGUUUACUCUGGUGCUGCUUAUCAUACAUGCCACACUCACCUUUGGCCUCCCUGUCCCCGGCUGCCCCAUGGGCUAUCUUGGACCAGGGGGGCUGCAUGAGUGGGGGAUGAACCGAGGCUGCACAGGGGGAGCGGCUGGAUACAUAGAUCGGGUGGUGGUGGGUCGGUCUCAUGUGUACAGCCACCCUACUUGUGUCACUAUAUAUGCCAGCAACACUCCAUACGACCCUGAAGGACUACUGGGCGCUCUUACUUCUGUCCUCAUGGUUCAGUUUGGUGCAGCUUGUGGCCGCAUCAUCACCACAUAUCAGACACACCGCGGCCGCUGGAGUCGCUGGCUUGUGUGGGCGCUGGUGACUGGUCUUCUGGCUGGCUUUCUCUGUAGUUGGAGGAAAGAAGGUGGCUUAAUCCCAGUGAACAAGAAUCUGUGGUCGUUAUCUUAUGUUCUAUGCACUACUUGCUUUGCCUUCAUCCUCUUCACUGUAUUCUAUGUUAUGAUUGACGAGAGAGGCUGGUGGGGCGGAAAUCCAUUACGUUAUGCAGGCAUGAACUCAAUCCUUCUAUACGUUGGGCAUGAGAUUUGUGGCGGGCUGUUUCCUUGGUCCUGGAAGCCAGUUGGACAGCACCAUUCCAAUCACCUCAUUAUGAACCUUUGGGCGACAAGUAUCUGGAUUGCCAUUGCUUACUUGUGCCACAGAAGGAAGUUGUAUUUGUCUGUGUAAGGGUAAGGAUUCUAAUCAUAGGUGUCAAUGUGUUUAGCUUGUGAUUUCCUGUGUGAGGCUGAGGUAGGAUGAGAAAUGAAGGUUCUAUGCAGUAUUUGGUUUGGUUUUCCUGUGUUUGAGGCUGAGAAAUCUGUGCUAGGUGAGCAUUUUAGUCCCCUGGUCUGUUGUUUGUGUUUUGUGAGUGUUUUGAUGACCUGGUGUGUUGUCCGUGUUUGAGGUUGUGUCAGGGAGAGAGACCAAAGUUUUUUUUAGUGCUGUUCAGUUGUAGCCAGAUUAAUUUUUAUUUGUGCCAUAGAAGAAAGCUGUAUUUGUCUGUGUAAGGGUAAAGGUGCCAAUCAGAGUUUUAGAUGUUUUUAGCUUGUUUUCUCCCACGUGAGACUGUGGCAGGAAGAGAGAUGAAGGUUCUAUGGAGCAUGUAUUUGGCUUUUCCUGCAUUUGAGGUUGAUAAAUCUGUGUUUUGUGAAUGCUGAGAGACAGACACCAAGGUUUUCAAUGCUGUUCAGUUGUAGCCAGAUUAAUUUUUACUUGUGCCAUAGAAGGAAGUUGUAUUUGUCUGUGUGAGGGCCAGGUAAAGGUGCCAGUCAGGGGCCAGGUAAAGGUGCCAGUCAGGGGCCAGGUAAAGGUGCCAAUCGAGGGCCAAGUAAAGGUGCCAGUCAGGGGCCAGGUAAAGAUGCCAGUCAGGGGCCAGGUAAACUUUUUUUUGAGGGUGAGGCAAGAAGAGAAAAGAAGAUUGUUUGCAGUGUUUUGUUAGUUUUUUUUGUGUUUGAGGUUGGAAGAUCUGCAUUUUGUAAAUGUUUUGAAGUUGUGUCAGGGAUAAAGACCAUGGCAGGAAGGGAAAAGGUAUGUAGCUGAUAAUUGACUUAGUUUUUCCUGUAUUUGAGGUUGGAAGAUCUGCAUUUUGUGAAUGUUAUGAUGUCCUGGUGUGUUUUUCUUAUUUGAGAUUGUGUCAAGGGUAGAGAAUAAGGCAGGAAUGAAAAUGAAGGUAUGUAGCUGGUGAUUGAUUUAUCUUUCCUGUAUUUGAGAUUGAAAGAUCUGCGUUUUGUGAAUGUUUUGAUGUUCCGACUUGUUUUUCUUAGUUGAGGUUGUGUCGGGUAAAGAUAUCAAGGCAGGAAGAGAGGUGAAGAUUGUAUGCAGUGUUUAGUUUGUUUUUCUUGUGUUUGAAGUUGAAAGAUCUACAUUUUGCAAAUGUUUUGAUGUUCUGACUUGUUUUUCUUACUUAAGGUUGUGUCAGGUAAAGAUACCAAGGUUUAUUUUAGUGAUGUUCAAUUCUAGCCAGAUUAAUUUUUAGCUAUAUUAUUUUCCUAUUGUCUCAGUGUUUGUUUUGAUUCUUUCCUAUUUUUCAAUCAUUUUUUCUGUCUCAGUCUGUGUUUUAUCUUUUUUUAUUCAUUUUCUACAAGGUUUACUUCAAUGUGCAGCCAAACUGAUUUUAAACUAGUCUUUCUGGCUUUCUUUAAUGUCCAAAUGUGGAAAAUAUUCUAGUUAUAAAGUCUUCAGCUCAAAGUGAGAGAGAGAGAGAGAGAGAGAGAGAGAGAGAGAGAGAGAGAGAGAGAGAGAGAGAGAGAGAGAGAGAGAGAGAGAGAGAGAGAGAGAGAGAG